RNAcentral lists this ribosomal RNA (227 nucleotides) under uncultured bacterium. RNAcentral describes it as "partial 16S ribosomal RNA". It matches the Rfam family "Bacterial small subunit ribosomal RNA", at positions 109 to 334 of the family's 1533-position model. The record is from RNAcentral.
AGUAACGCGUGAGGAACCUGCCUCAAAGAGGGGGACAACAGUUGGAAACGACUGCUAAUACCGCAUAAGCCCACGGCUCGGCAUCGAGCAGAGGGAAAAGGAGCAAUCCGCUUUGAGAUGGCCUCGCGUCCGAUUAGCUAGUUGGUGAGGUAACGGCCCACCAAGGCGACGAUCGGUAGCCGGACUGAGAGGUUGAACGGCCACAUUGGAACUGAGACACGGCCCAG